This 765-nucleotide long non-coding RNA is filed under the name Macaca nemestrina (pig-tailed macaque). Its description in RNAcentral is "lncRNA (ENSMNEG00000046112.1)". Lineage: Eukaryota; Metazoa; Chordata; Mammalia; Primates; Cercopithecidae. The record is from RNAcentral.
ACACGUUCUGCUUGUCUCCUUAAAAUGCUUUUCCCACUUAUUUCCCUGGCAAAUUCUAGGUCCUGCAUCCAAACUCAGCUCAGAUGCUGCCUCCUGCAGGAAGCCCUUCCGGGUUGCAUCCAGUCUUAAUUAAGUGGUCAUCCUGUGUGGUCCCAUGGUAUGCUGCACACAAUACUGCAGUGGGGACCAGACUGCUUUUCCAAGGAGCCACCCAGACCCUCAGAAAGCAGUACCUGUGGAAACACAAGUGAACGGGAUGAAGAAAGAUGCGAUCUUGUAUGAAAGUUUUCAAACAGCCGCCAAGAACAGCAACUCCUCUCGCAUCACAUCGGGCCUUGGCGCUCCAGGACUCAGUGACUCCAGGCAAUUUAAAACCAUAGUGGAAGUCACGAUGGUAUGGAAAUGCUGGCUGAGAAAGCAUCCCGGUACCUUUUCGUGUUGCCUGAAUCUCGCUCAAGAUAUCGGUUUCCGAUGGAAUGGGGAAAUCUGUGUAAACCAAAUAGAAUAUUAAAGCACACGAACAAGCAGCCUGAAAAAAAAGUACUAUAAAGUAAAUGAACAAAUAUAUAAAACCGAUAGCCAACUUCACCAGUAAAGAAAUGCAAAUUAAACCACAAGGAGAUUGAAAUGUUAAAAAUCUAUCGGAUUGGUAAAGACUAAAAAGGUUGAUAAUGCUCAGUAGGGUCUGGGAAUCCACCACACCAUGGGGUGAGGUGGGAAUGUUAACCGGUGCAACCAUUUUAUUUUAUUUUAUUAUUUAUUUAU